This 497-nucleotide ribosomal RNA is filed under the name uncultured bacterium. Its description in RNAcentral is "partial 16S ribosomal RNA". It matches the Rfam family "Bacterial small subunit ribosomal RNA", at positions 28 to 507 of the family's 1533-position model. The record is from RNAcentral.
GAUGAACGCUGGCGGCGUGCCUAAUACAUGCAAGUCGAGCGAACGGACGAGAAGCUUGCUUCUCUGAUGUUAGCGGCGGACGGGUGAGUAACACGUGGAUAACCUACCUAUAAGACUGGGAUAACUUCGGGAAACCGGAGCUAAUACCGGAUAAUCUUUUGAACCGCAUGGUUCAAAAGUGAAAGACGGUCUUGCUGUCACUUAUAGAUGGAUCCGCGCUGCAUUAGCUAGUUGGUAAGGUAACGGCUUACCAAGGCAACGAUGCAUAUCCGACCUGAGAGAGGGGUAGGCCACACGGGAGCGGGGACACGGUCCAGACUCCUACGGGAGGCAGCAGUAGGGAAUCUUCCGCAGUAGUCGAAAACCUUACAGAGCAACGCCACGUGAGUGAUGAAGGUCUUCGGAGCGUAAAACUCUGUUAUUAGGGGAAAACAUAUGUGUAAGUAACUGUGCACAUCUUGACGGUACCUAAUCAGAAAGCCACGGCUAACUACGUG